CGACAGUUACAAGGUCCUUAAUCCUAUUGAUAGAGAGUAGUAACAGAAGGGGCGACGGCAACCCUUAAUUACCUUAAACAAAGGAUGGCUAUUAACAUCCCUGUCCAAGGCCUAAACAUCGGGUUUCAUUGUGGUAUCACAAUCAGAUUCUGGAGGGUGCAUGAAGUGAGCAUUAACCUAACAUUUAAACUCCCAUCCUUUGUGACAUCUGAACUAACUUCACCGAGCGCUUCGGCAUCAAUCUGUGUCUGCAUUUGCUUCAUGGCCUCGGUGAGGACCCACCCACGGUGGAUUUUCGUUUGCAAAUUCUGAUCGAAAGUGACAACAAACUUGCAGGCUACUCCAAAUUUUUACCCAAUUCACGUACAAAAAGGGAGCAGCCGGCACCUUGGAUUGCUCAGCAAAUGUAAAACUAGGCGGCUAAGGAACAAAACUUGGGAAUCUCUC
Molecule: long non-coding RNA, 447 nt
Filed under: Theobroma cacao (cacao)
Lineage: Eukaryota; Viridiplantae; Streptophyta; Magnoliopsida; Malvales; Malvaceae
Description: long non-coding RNA (TCAC_LNC005067)
Source: RNAcentral